CUUUCUAUUUUUUGUAAGUCGCUUUGGAUAAAAGUGCCUGCUAAAUGACUAAAU
Molecule: non-coding RNA, 54 nt
Organism: Larimichthys crocea (large yellow croaker)
Lineage: Eukaryota; Metazoa; Chordata; Actinopteri; Sciaenidae
Source: Rfam